CGCAGCUAUGUCAAAUUCAGUGCUUCCUCUUUAGUAGGUUGCACUGGCCAAAAUGGCUGCUACAGUGACUCUGUAGUUCAUGGGCCCUGCAUUCUUCACCAUAGACUCUGGGGAUAAAUAUGCACUACAGACAAAA
This 136-nucleotide small nucleolar RNA is filed under the name Echeneis naucrates (live sharksucker). RNAcentral's name for it is "Small nucleolar RNA SNORA5 (ENSENLG00000007054.1)". It matches the Rfam family "Small nucleolar RNA SNORA5". Rfam says of the family: ACA5 is a member of the H/ACA class of snoRNA that guide the sites of modification of uridines to pseudouridines. Lineage: Eukaryota; Metazoa; Chordata; Actinopteri; Carangiformes; Echeneidae. The record is from Rfam by way of RNAcentral.